UGAGUUCCAGGACAACCAAAGCAACACAGU
This 30-nucleotide non-coding RNA is filed under the name Rattus norvegicus (Norway rat). The record is from RNAcentral. Lineage: Eukaryota; Metazoa; Chordata; Mammalia; Rodentia; Muridae.